UAAAGGAUGUUUGAUGAAGCACUAUGG
This 27-nucleotide non-coding RNA is filed under the name Homo sapiens (human). Lineage: Eukaryota; Metazoa; Chordata; Mammalia; Primates; Hominidae. The record is from RNAcentral.